ACUGAACAGGAUAGAUAGGCAUCUUCAUGCCGAGUGGUGACAC
RNAcentral lists this unclassified non-coding RNA (43 nucleotides) under uncultured bacterium. The record is from RNAcentral.